GGAGAGGUGGCUGAGUGGUUGAAAGCAGCAUCCUGCUAAGAUGUUGACCCCGAAAGGGGUCCGCGGGUCCGAAUCCCGCCCUCUCCGCCA
This 90-nucleotide transfer RNA is filed under the name Candidatus Brennerbacteria bacterium RIFOXYB1_FULL_41_13. Its description in RNAcentral is "tRNA-Ser". It matches the Rfam family "tRNA". Rfam says of the family: Transfer RNA (tRNA) molecules are approximately 80 nucleotides in length. Their secondary structure includes four short double-helical elements and three loops (D, anti-codon, and T loops). Lineage: Bacteria; Candidatus Brenneribacteriota. RNAcentral also lists the same sequence under 1 other name. The record is from RNAcentral.